AGAGUGAACGCUGGCGGCAGGCCUAACACAUGCAAGUCGAACGGCAGCACAGAGGAGCUUGCUCCUUGGGUGGCGAGUGGCGGACGGGUGAGGAAUACGUCGGAAUCUGCCUAUUUGUGGGGGAUAACGUAGGGAAACUUACGCUAAUACCGCAUACGACCUACGGGUGAAAGCGGAGGACCUUCGGGCUUCGCGCAGAUAGAUGAGCCGAGUCGGAUUAGCUAGUUGGCGGGUAAAGGCCCACCAAGGCGACGAUCCGUAGCUGGUCUGAGAGGAUGAUCAGCCACACUGGAACUGAGACACGGUCCAGACUCCUACGGGAGCAGCAGUGGGGAAUAUUGGACAAUGGGCGCAAGCCUGAUCCAGCCAUGCCGCGUGU
RNAcentral lists this ribosomal RNA (379 nucleotides) under uncultured soil bacterium. RNAcentral's name for it is "bacterial SSU rRNA". It matches the Rfam family "Bacterial small subunit ribosomal RNA", at positions 26 to 404 of the family's 1533-position model. The record is from RNAcentral.